This 402-nucleotide ribosomal RNA is filed under the name uncultured bacterium. RNAcentral describes it as "bacterial SSU rRNA". It matches the Rfam family "Bacterial small subunit ribosomal RNA", at positions 335 to 753 of the family's 1533-position model. The record is from RNAcentral.
GCGCGCGCCGCCCAGCAGUGGGGAAUAUUGCACAAUGGGCGCAAGCCUGAUGCAGCGACGCCGCGUGAGGGAUGAAGGCCUUCGGGUUGUAAACCUCUUUCAGUAGGGAAGAAGCGAAAGUGACGGUACCUGCAGAAGAAGCGCCGGCUAACUACGUGCCAGCAGCCGCGGUAAUACGUAGGGCGCAAGCGUUAUCCGGAAUUAUUGGGCGUAAAGAGCUCGUAGGCGGUUUGUCGCGUCUGCCGUGAAAGUCCGGGGCUCAACCCCGGAUCUGCGGUGGGUACGGGCAGACUUGAGUGAUGUAGGGGAGACUGGAAUUCCUGGUGUAGCGGUGAAAUGCGCAGAUAUCAGGAGGAACACCGAUGGCGAAGGCAGGUCUCUGGGCAUAACUGACGCUGAGAG